Hippocampus zosterae (dwarf seahorse) is the source of this 525-nucleotide long non-coding RNA. RefSeq lists it as uncharacterized. The record is from RefSeq and is a predicted model, not a curated record. The transcript is spliced from 3 exons. NCBI's taxonomy places the organism in Eukaryota, Metazoa, Chordata, Actinopteri, Syngnathiformes, Syngnathidae.
ACCUCACUCCCGCUCACUUGUCGAAGCUCGUGUCAGUGCAGACUUCGUGUUCGUGCCUUGCCUUCCUUGCCGAUUAUGGAGCAGAGACGCAAAUCAUCCGCCGUGUGGGACCAUUUUGAUGUCCUGGAGAAUAAGGUGAAAUGUCGAAUUUGCCAAGUCAAUUCGCCAACAGAAGCACCACCACCAUGCUGAGGCAUUAUCGGGCCAAGCAUGAGAAUGAAGUUCGCGAUACACCCGGUAUUACGCCAGGUUCCAGGAAGCAGCUGUACUGGAAGGACCAACACACUUCUUUCCCAAACCUCUCCCACCUCGCAAAGGAGUUCCUUUGUACGCCAGCCUCAUCCGUCCGUCCCUUGUGAGCGUGUGUUCUUCACAGCAGGAGAAAUUGCUUGUAAAAGACGCAACAGGCUGAAGUUUAAAACAUUGGAGCAUCUUAUUUUUCUCAAUAAAAAUGUGAAAUCAAAGCCCACAAGCAUCCUCAUUCAAAUGAUCUUCACAUUAUUUGAACACAUUGAAUGUUGCAAA